AGAAUCAACGCUGGCGGCGUGCCUAACACAUGCAAGUCGCACGAGAAAGGGGAGCAAUCCCUGAGUAAAGUGGCGCACGGGUGAGUAACACGUGAAUGAUCUACCUCCGAGUGGGGAAUAACUGAGAGAAAUCUUAGCUAAUACCGCAUAAUACCCACGGGUCAAAGCAGCAAUGCGCUUGGAGAGGAGUUCGCGGCCGAUUAGCUAGUUGGCGGGGUAAUGGCCCACCAAGGCGAUGAUCGGUAUCCGGCCUGAGAGGGCGCACGGACACACUGGAACUGAAACACGGUCCAGACUCCUACGGGAGGCAGCAGUGGGGAAUUUUGCGCAAUGGGGGAAACCCUGACGCAGCAACGCCGCGUGGAGGAUGAAGCCCCUUGGGGUGUAAACUCCUUUCGAUCGGGAAGAUAAUGACGGUACCGAUAUAAGAAGCCCGGCUAACUUCGUGCCAGCAGCCGC
This 459-nucleotide ribosomal RNA is filed under the name uncultured bacterium. Its description in RNAcentral is "SSU rRNA". It matches the Rfam family "Bacterial small subunit ribosomal RNA", at positions 26 to 518 of the family's 1533-position model. The record is from RNAcentral.